GGGGGGUGUUUACAAAAGGUUUCUUUAAGGUUUGGUUUCUUGUAGCUUAGAUCAUUUAGUAUAAUGCUAUAAAGCAUAUAAACUGAUGCAUUAUCUAAUUUUAAAUUUCCAUGAUACAUUUAUUCCUUAAUUACAUAUAUAUGAUAUAUUGUGUGCCCUAAUUUUAAGUGUCAAAUUUUGGGGUUUGUUAGUGUUCAUAGACUGGCUUCACAAAUAUGUUUCUUUCUCCUCACUAAUAUUUGCAGUCUUUGGAUAUAGCACCAAGAUGUAGAUGGUUAGAUUUUUGGUUGAAGGUUACAUAGGUCCCUUGACUCGAAAUAGAUUUUAAAAUGCAUAGUAGUUUAGAAGUUCAUGCAGUUUUUUGUUAUGAUUUCCUUCGGCUAUGGGAAAUUGCAGUUAUUUUCUUAUAAACAUGAGCAUAGACAUCAUAGUUGUUCAAGGUGCUCCUUAGGUCUAAGGUCAAUCAUCUCCAUUGAUCUUGGGUCAGGCUCCAUCACUAAGUUACACUAGGCACCUAGGCAUGCUUUAACGAGUGUCUUGGCUUGCACUGAAGGGUAUCAAGGAUUUUUUUUUUUUUGGUACUCUUUGUUAGUUGGUUUUACUUGCAUCAUUGGAUGCUUUCACCUUAUGCCUUACUGGUUGUUUUUAAUUAUUGGAUGUUACAAUCUUUUUCAAUAAAUAAAUACAAUUGUAUAGCGCCAAUUUUUUGCAAGGUGAAUGCCAUGGUGUCAUUUCGUAUUCUAAUUGCAAAAUGAAGUUGCCACUUUCCCUUCCCUCUCGUUCAGGUGUCUGGAGCACUGGCAAAGACAAGUGCAUAUGGGAAGUUCUAAUGUGUUAGAAAUUAUAGAUGGUCUAACAUAAGAGGAAUGGAUGAAAAGGAAGAAGCAUCAGCUUGGGCAUGUUCCAAACAUUGUUUACUGUUGGUGCUAUGUCUUUUGCACGUUCUAAUCCACAUGAAAUUUGCGUUGCUAAUCUAGCUUGAGACCAGCUUAUGUAUCCAUUAUUUUAUUCCCUUGCAAUCUAGUAUGCAUAUUGCCUAUGCUGAACUAUUUUUAUUUGUUAUUUCCUGUGUAGUGUCCAUGUGUUAUUAUGAAUUGUUUAAUAUUUUUAUAUUCAAUUAUUAAUACUCACAAAUUGGAACAAUGUCCAAAUAUUUUAUAUUCAUUUUAAUAAAUGUAUCUAGCAUCCCUUUGGUUAAUGUCUGUGGCUUGUGUUUAGGUCCCAAUUACCUUGUACGCCUUAAGGCAUCUUAUGCUUUUGACAAGUAUGAUGUAUAUUGAAUUUGCACGAGCAUGGUUCAAAUUUUGGAAGGGAUUAAGUCAUGAAAAGAUGCUAAAUUUACGACUUUUUUUUAGAACAUCUCUCAUACUUUUUUAGGAAUAUUCUUUGGUGAGAGUGAUAUUAUAUGAUUACCUCCAUUGUUGAACUCACAAUUUCCAAUUUAUCUUCCAAGAAUGAUACAUUUUCAGAGCUUUUUGGUUUUUGUUAAUAGGUUCUAUAACAUCUUCGCAGAACAGUGAAAUUCUGUAAUUUUCAAAAGAUGAGGUAUAGAAGUUGGAAGUUGUUGAUUUAAGUCUUAAACUGCAACUUUUCAUGAGAUGCUACUCUUUUGAUGAAUGGCUAUGUUGCUAUUCAGAAAUAUUAUAUCAAACAAUUCUCUAGAAGUGGUUUUGGCAAAAAAGAAUAUAAAUCUCCACUUUUCAUAUUUAAAUGCAAGUCAUAUAAUUGGUGGACAUUUAUCAUUCUCAUUCUUCCCGUGGAAUUUCUGGAGGUAAUGGCUUUCAACUAUUUGGAAUUAUUUUGACUCUGGUAUAAGUAUCUACUCCCUUAUUUCCCAAAAUUUUGUAGAUUUUUUUCCCACUUCUUUGAAGUGUCAAACUUGUGAUCAUGACCGAGCAUCCUUACAUGAUGUGUAGUUGAGGGUAAAAUGAAAAGUUGAACUAAACAGAAUAGCUUAAGGGAUGUUGAGUUUAUUAGGGUUUGGGCUAAUUGAACUAAAUUGCACACUUAGAUGCACUUGUUGAGGUUACAAUUUCAUUUUACUAUAGUGGUUAUUCAUAUAGGCUGUGGUAAAAGAUCAGGAGGCAGAAAAGCAUGUUGAUGAAAAUUGCUGGGAAGAGGUAUGUGCAUGGUUAUUGUGGUCUUGUGAACUAGCCUAUUUUAACUGAGAUGAACUAGUCUUAUUGCUUAAUUGAUGCAAAAGAAUUGAAGCGAUGAGGGAUUCUUUUCAUGUGAUCAUGGUAUUGCUUAAGGUAGAUUUGGCAUCUAGAAUGGGCUAUUAGAGAAACUGGAACACUAACAAUUCUUCUUCCUCUUCUUCUUUAAAGAAGCAUGACAGAUUUUGUGUCAUUUGUAAAGUGGCUGCCAUUUUUCUACAAUUUCUUCUGUACAGAUGGCAAUUUAAUACCAUUUUGUUAGGUUUUAUCUGUGUCAAUGGUAGCAGGGUGGGCAUGGCUUUUGUGCCCCUUUCUCCCCCUUCCCCAUUUGCUUCAGUGAUUCUUAAAAGAUGCUAUAUAUAUAUAUAUGGGCAAUGAAUAGCUUAAUCUUUGCUUUGCCAUUCCUAUUCUUGUAACCUGUUUGUGCCAUCUAGUUUGUUGAACCCUUAAAUUUAUAUGCAAACGGGUAUAUAGGGUGUUAUCUACUCAUCCUUGAGCAAAUAAUAUG
Molecule: unclassified non-coding RNA, 2664 nt
Filed under: Hevea brasiliensis (rubber tree)
Lineage: Eukaryota; Viridiplantae; Streptophyta; Magnoliopsida; Malpighiales; Euphorbiaceae
Source: RNAcentral